RNAcentral lists this non-coding RNA (199 nucleotides) under Tessaracoccus bendigoensis. The record is from RNAcentral. Lineage: Bacteria; Bacillati; Actinomycetota; Actinomycetes; Propionibacteriales; Propionibacteriaceae.
CGCUCAACCCCGUGAUAGGUUGCCCGUAUUCCGGUGAAUGGGAAUCCAGCGUGAAUCUGGAGCGGUCCUCCCCACUGUGAGCGCUGAGCGGGUGUUCCGACGAUCGUCAGGAUCGGGCCACUGGACGGACAGUCCGGGAAGGCCAGAACAGCCGUGCCGAAGCGUGAGUCAGGAAACCUGACCGGAGUGUGUUUCGUCC